Molecule: ribosomal RNA, 484 nt
Filed under: uncultured bacterium
Lineage: Bacteria
Description: partial 16S ribosomal RNA
Rfam family: Bacterial small subunit ribosomal RNA
Source: RNAcentral
AUUGAACGCUGGCGGCAUGCCUUACACAUGCAAGUCGAACGGCAGCACGGACUUCGGUCUGGUGGCGAGUGGCGAACGGGUGAGUAAUGUAUCGGAACGUACCUUUCAGUGGGGGAUAACGUAGCGAAAGUUACGCUAAUACCGCAUAUUCUGUGAGCAGGAAAGCAGGGGAUCGAAAGACCUUGCGCUGAUUGAGCGGCCGAUAUCAGAUUAGCUAGUUGGUGGGGUAAAGGCCUACCAAGGCGACGAUCUGUAGCGGGUCUGAGAGGAUGAUCCGCCACACUGGAACUGAGACACGGUCCAGACUCCUACGGGAGGCAGCAGUGGGGAAUGUUGGACAAUGGGGGCAACCCUGAUCCAGCCAUGCCGCGUGAGUGAAGAAGGCCUUCGGGUUGUAAAGCUCUUUCGGCCGGGAAGAAAUCGCAUAGGCUAAUACCCUGUGUGGAUGACGGUACCGGAAUAAGAAGCACCGGCUAACUACGUG